GAUAAAAUGGCUGAAAAAAGGUAAUAAAUUGUAAAUUUAUUGAUGAAAUUAAUUAUUUCUUUUAUCA
RNAcentral lists this transfer RNA (67 nucleotides) under Leptocimbex linealis. RNAcentral's name for it is "tRNA-Tyr". Lineage: Eukaryota; Metazoa; Arthropoda; Insecta; Hymenoptera; Cimbicidae. The record is from RNAcentral.